GCUCAGGAUGAACGCUAGCUACAGGCUUAACACAUGCAAGUCGAGGGGUAGCAGGGUAGCAAUACCGCUGACGACCGGCGCACGGGUGAGUAACACGUAUCCAACCUUCCCAUAACUCGGGGAUAGCCUUUCGAAAGAAAGAUUAAUACCCGAUAGUACUUUAUUAAGGCAUCUUAAGAAAGUUAAAGAUUUAUUGGUUAUGGAUGGGGAUGCGUUCCAUUAGAUAGUUGGUGAGGUAACGGCUCACCAAGUCUUCGAUGGAUAGGGGUUCUGAGAGGAAGGUCCCCCACAUUGGUACUGAGACACGGACCAAACUCCUACGGGAGGCAGCAGUGAGGAAUAUUGGUCAAUGGGCGAGAGCCUGAACCAGCCAAGU
RNAcentral lists this ribosomal RNA (376 nucleotides) under uncultured Bacteroidales bacterium. RNAcentral describes it as "bacterial SSU rRNA". It matches the Rfam family "Bacterial small subunit ribosomal RNA", at positions 22 to 397 of the family's 1533-position model. The record is from RNAcentral. Lineage: Bacteria; Pseudomonadati; Bacteroidota; Bacteroidia; Bacteroidales.